UGGGGAAUAUUGCCCAAUGGGCGAAAGCCUGAUGCAGCGACGCCGCGUGAGGGAUGACGGCCUUCGGGUUGUAAACCUCUUUCAGUAGGGACGAAGCGCAAGUGACGGUACCUGCAGAAGAAGCACCGGCUAACUACGUGCCAGCAGCCGCGGUAAUACGUAGGGUGCGAGCGUUGUCCGGAAUUACUGGGCGUAAAGAGCUCGUAGGCGGUUUGUCACGUCGUCUGUGAAAUCCUAGGGCUUAACCCUGGACGUGCAGGCGAUACGGGCUGACUCGAGUACUACAGGGGAGACUGGAAUUUCUGGUGUAGCGGUGGAAUGCACAGAUAUCAGGAAGAACACCGAUGGCGAAGGCAGGUCUCUGGGUAGUAACUGACGCUGAGGAGCGAAAGCAUGGGUAGCGAACAGG
Molecule: ribosomal RNA, 409 nt
Filed under: bacterium
Lineage: Bacteria
Description: partial 16S ribosomal RNA
Rfam family: Bacterial small subunit ribosomal RNA
Source: RNAcentral